GGGAAAACUUAAAGAAUUGUGGGGGACUUUUUCCGCGGGCAGCAGGGAGAAACUCUAAAAAAUUUUUGGGGCCCUUCCUCGCAACUGCUACAUCAAACUCAAAACGAAUUGUCGGUUUCUUCCUCCCCCAUCAUAACGCACCUGAAACUAAGAAAUACACACCUUAACUGAAUUCCAGCAACCGCUGUAAUACAUUAGGGUGCAAGCGUUAAUCGGAAUUACUGGGCGUAAAGCGCGCGCAGGCGGUUCUAUAAGACAGAUGUGAAAUCCCCGGGCUCAACCUGGGAAUUGCAUUCGAUACUGUAUAGCUACAGUAUGGUACAGGAAAACGGAAUUCCACAUGUACCAGUGAAAUGCGUAGAUAUGCGGAGGAACACCAGAUGGCGAAGGCAAUUCUCUGGACCAAUACUGACGCUCAUGCACGAAAGCGUGGGGAGCAAACAGGAUUAGAUACCCUGGUAGUCCACGCCCUAAACGAUGACAACUAGGGGUUGGGACGCUUCACCUUUAAUAACCAAACUUAACCCUAUAACUUAUCCCCUUGGGAAUACCGGCCCCAAGGUUAAACC
Molecule: ribosomal RNA, 569 nt
Filed under: uncultured bacterium
Lineage: Bacteria
Description: bacterial SSU rRNA
Rfam family: Bacterial small subunit ribosomal RNA
Source: RNAcentral